Molecule: ribosomal RNA, 329 nt
Filed under: uncultured bacterium
Lineage: Bacteria
Description: bacterial SSU rRNA
Rfam family: Bacterial small subunit ribosomal RNA
Source: RNAcentral
CUAGCGACUUCAGAGUUUGAUCUGGCUCAGGAUUAACGCUGGCGGCGUGCUUAACACAUGCAAGUCGAACGGAGCAGAUUUAUCUGCUUAGUGGCGGACGGGUGAGUAACGCGUGGGUAACCUGCCUUGUACAAGGGGACAACAGUUGGAAACGGCUGCUAAUACCGCAUAAGCGCACGGAGCUGCAUGGCUCAGGGCGAAAAGAUUUAUCGGUACAAGAUGGACCCGCGUCUGAUUAGCUAGUUGGUGAGGUAACGGCCCACCAAGGCGACGAUCAGUAGCCGAUCUGAGAGGAUGACCGGCCACAUUGGGACUGAGACACGGCCCAA